UAAAAGUUAGGUAUAUAAAAAAAACGAAAUUUGACAAAGCGUGUACACUAACACUGUUACUUGAUUUAACUGAUUUACACCAAUUUAGAUAGAAACUCUUAAAUUGGAUUCAAAGAAAAUCUUCUCGAAUUAUUAUGUAAAUUUCAUAGAUUUUGCACUCGUAAGAGUCUUUUACUAAUUGAACAGUGAUUAAGCAGCAAUGUAUGUAAUUAUUGUGUAGAGCAAAAACAAAAAAGGAUUAAGUUGGAUAUAACCUGUUAAGCAGCUUCUCCGCAACCUCAGUCUCUUUCGCCUGAUGCAUAGCCUUCAAGACAAGAUUAUACGACGCCGUAUUAGGGGCCACGGAGAAAUCAUCCAUCAUCGCAACGAGAUCGAGCAUGUCACUAGGUGCAGCGCCCAUCAUCAAAUUAGCCCUAAGGUAAUGGUUGUAAAGGUUGACAUCCGGCUUGUUCGGCUUCCCGUUCUUGUCGAGCGACCGGACCCAGAACUCGAAUAGCUGCUUCAUGUCGGACCAGCGCUGCGACGCGGUCCAGUCGGCGAACAUGUUGAGCAGCGAGAUCAUGUCGAGGGUCUCGGAGAGGGCUCUGAUGCGGGCGGCGGGGGCUUGGUUUAGGAAUCCCAUGGGGACUAGUGAUUGGCUGAAGGAGGGCGAGUUCGGGAUCGGGCUCCGCCAGUUCUCCUGGUAGAGAGGGCUUCCUGUUGCUGGAUUUGGAGGGAGCGUGGUGGAUUCGUGAUCGGUUGCGAGCUGGGGAUCUUGAUAGAGGGACGGCGUACCGGAAAUGGUUCUGAUGUGGUGAUUGGGUUUGAGGGUUCGGAGGAGAGAGAUCCGAGACCGGAGGAAGAGAUGAGAAGACAUUGUCGGAAGGGGAUCUAGUUUGGAGUUGGAGUUUGGUCAAAAGGGGUUUAUCUUGUUUUAGGGUUUUCAGAGUUUCAGAUUGAGUUCGGUCGUGACGAUCUCUUCCCCCCCGUGGGCAGUGGUAUUUUCAGAAAUUAUUCGACAACUGAUGUCAUUUUCAGGAGUCUUAGAAACGGGUUUAGACCCAGCCCGGCCCAUUAUGGUAUGGCUAAAUUAGUUUUAUACUGAAGCUCCAAUAAUAUUUUAAUUGCUGCAUGCGAUCUAAAUUAUAAAUAUUAAAAUAUUUUGAGCUAAACUACAUGCUUUUAUAGGUAUUUAAAAUUAUAUGUGUAUGUACUGAUCACUAAUUUAAUAACCAUUAUAAGUUUUCAAUUCACCCAAAACAAUUAUCCAUUAAAAAAUAUGAUUUUUAUACUUUCAAUGUGAAUGAUCAAUUGUAAAUGAGUAAUUUUCUUAAUAGUUGUGAUGGAAUAUAGAAAAAUAUUAUACAAUAUUUAUAUUAAAAUAAUUAAUGCAACAUUUAUAAGAAAAUAAUAUCACAAAAAUUUCAUAUUUGUUUUUGAAUUUUUUUUAGAAAAUGCCAAUAUAUUAGUAUGAUUAAUAAAACAACCACUUACCAUCUAUCCAUUGAUUACAAAAUAGCUAUAAUAGGUUAUAUAUAAUAAUUUUAUAACAUUUUUUUUAAAACUAAACAUGAUUAGUUAGAUUUAAUAAUUUCAAAUUCAUAUAUAUGAUUGUUUGAACUAUAAAAUUUUUAAUCACUAGUAAUUUGUUUUUCAGUUAUACUAUUGUUUGCUCUAUAAAACUUUAAAUCAUCAAUUUUUGUAUUAAGUGUAACUUUUGUGCAUAGUACAUUACGAAGUAGAAGUUAUAUGCUAGUUUUUUUUUAUUUGUUUGGUGAAUUUAUUAUCCUAAAUUAUACUUAAAUGAGAUUUUCAAUGAUAAACAUAAUUUAGUGGACGUCUUCUGAAGCUUCCACCAUAUCGGAAAUAUAUUUGAUGCACACAUCAAAAAUGAAACUCCUCCAUGAAAAAUGUUUCACAUAAUUUUAAACUAUCCACAAUCCUAAGUAUAAAAUGAUAUGUGCAUCUAAAAUUGUGGAUAUGAAGACAAGGAUAUUUGAUGCUUUUAAUGAUUUUAGAUCAUUUUAUUUACUUUUAUCUUUAAUACUUUCCGAGAAAACGCAAUUAAAAAGUUAAUUGAGGAAACACAAUUGUUAGGUUAAUUGAGAAAAGGUAAAUUGAUGAAUAAUCAGAAAAUGAAAAACAUUUUUACCUAAAUUCUUAUCUUCCUACUAUACAACGAGUUACAUCAACGAGUUUCAAACAAGUUGAUGAAACUCUAGCCUGACAAAGAAGAUUUUCUAUUGGUGUACUUACGUAUAACGUCUUGGAGGUAGAUUCGGGUCAUAGGAACAAAUCUUUGAUCAUGUCUCUUCAAAGCAUUCUCUAUGCUUUCUCUGGAAUAUUUGAGAGGAUAACCAGCAAUGGCAUUCUCUUUAUCCCUAAGAGCAAUGACAUCAAUAACAAAGAAAAUAACAAAAUGAAAAUUUAAAUGUAAGAAAUAACAUUUCUAAAUUGCCUUAAAAUAACAAAAGCAUUGCAAGUUGUUCUGAUAAAAUGAAAAUUUGAAAGUAAGAUUUAAAGAGGUUUACCAAAAGGAAGAUAUUAACUGUUUAAUAUAGUUCUUAUGUUCAAUUAAACUAUUUGUUGCAUGUAUGAUUUUGUUUAUGGAAAAAUUGUUAAAUUACUAAUUAAAUUUAAAUUCUCAUCGGCAAAAGGGAAACAUCUCGUUGUCUGAUCCUAUUUCAUUUAAUUUCGAGAGACACCACACUUAAUUUCAAAUGGUGCUUUGACUUGGCUUAUAAAACAUCACUAAUGCUCAGCCAUUACAACUUAGCACAAUUCAAUAAUGGACUACAACGGGCAUAAUAUUGAUUUGAGAGAGAGAGAGAGAGAGAGAAAGAAACCUUGGAGAGAGAAGAAGCGGAGGAUGGUAAGGCUUUACAGGGAGAGUGUACAGACAUAUCGUCCUGCUCUUCCUCUUUCUCUUUCUCUUUCUCUUUAUCUCCACCAACUUCGUCAUUUCUUCCACCCAUCUUUGUGUUCCCUUCCCUCUCUUCAAUCAGUUUAGGGUUUCGUGUCGUGUCGUGUCUUUGAUCCCAGAAGAAAUGAGAUGAAAUGUUCUCUGAAUCUGUGAGACAGAAGCCUCUCAAGAAUCCACCUGGACUCCGAAUUGGGCCGACCAAUUCUCAAGGCCCUGUCUCCGGUUUAGCACACCAGUAUACAAUUACAUUAUUCAAGAGUUACAAGAUCAAAAAGCGCAGGAGUGAAUUACUGUAUUGUGGAUAACUUUAGUAAUUAAAAAAAAAAACAUAACAUCAUGUGCAUGAGACUAUUUGAACACCAAAAAACAAAGGCUUUUAUGAAGAUAAAAAAAGAUACGAAUCUUCCAAAAAGUUUUGCCAUUUAUUGGUCAAUGCUGCAUGAAAACAUCUGCAAGAGAGACUAGUGAACCACUGAUCCUAAAACAACGAGCUAUGUAAUGGAAAAACAAAUCAGAUUUGAGGACUCGAAACGAUUAUAAAUGAAGCAACUGACAGCAAUGAAACACGGAGCAACGGUCCAUAGCUUCAAAGAUUCGAUGAGCCUGAGAUUCUCAUACCUCCCUCCUUCCUCAACAAGAGCUUCUGCAACAACCAAACACAUUUGAUGAGAUGGUCACAAUUUGAUGAUUCCUCUGUAACAAUAAAAACUGAGGAUUCAUUAUUACAUUUAGCCCUUCAUUAUGCGCGAACCCUGGAGUAAUCCAUGUUGAACAGCAUGUUCCUCCGGUUCUCUGAUCCCAUCCUUAUUUGAAACUUCUUGGCCAAAGACUCCACCUUAUCAUCGUUUUCGUUGUCUAGCUCCCUGAUACAUCGCCUUCUCAGCUUCUUCAGUGUCUCCUUGGAAGGUUCAAAUCCAGCUUUGAUCUGUUAUUUCCGAAAAGCAUGUUUUAGUUUCUCAUAGCCAUGUUAAACAACACACAUCCUUCUCUCAUAGCGGUUCUGGUUUUACCAUGUCAUCGAUGACCGUCAGAGCUGAUUCGGGAUCCCGGUUAAUGAGAUGAGCAUCAACCAGCAAUGAAAACGUCCGGGCAUCAGGCUUAACACCUUCCCCAACUAGAUGACUGUAUACUCUUGUAGCCUCAGGAGUCUGCAAAAGCAAACAAGCUCAGAGUCUUUAAGCCUCGUCGGAAAUAAGAAAAAAUUAAAGAGAAAGAGAGUGAUAUGACAUGGAGACAUCACCUACCUUCUUGACCUUUCCAAAUGCAUAUAUUAAAGCAUUGUACGAAUCAAUAUUAGGAGUCAGCCCAAAAGAAGCACUUAUUGCAUCAAACGUCUGGUAAGCACGAUCCAGAUCCCAUGUGUUUGCGCAGCCAAGAACUAUACAGUUUAGAGCAGCAACGGACUUGUACGGAGUAUCACCUUUACUCAAUGUCUCCAGCUGGAAGUAUACCUCAUCCAAUGUCUCAAAACCUUUCUUAGAACAGGCCACAACCAGCGGGUACAACGAUGUAAAAGGAGAAAGCAUUUCCUCCUUAACUUCCUUUUCAGCGUCCUUGUAUGCGUUUUCAAACUCAUUAAGUGCGACGAAAGCUUUCUGCAGGUUCCCCAACGAUGCGUAAGCAUUUAUCUUCGCAACAUAAGCCGCAGGGUUGGCUGCCUUCUUCCCACGCAGGCUCCGUUUCAGAAUCAUCCACGAUCCAUCUAUUAAAGUCGGAUUGCACGUCCUAGCAGCGGUUGCGAGAGCUGACACCACCAAACCUUCAUCAACAGAGAGUAAAACCGAGGGCCUAGCCAUUUCUCCUCUGUUGAUCCAAUUGUACAUGAACUCAAACGCGUAGAAUGCUAAUUUGCUAUUGUCCUCUUGAGUUGCUACUUCAGCCAUGUAUGUACAGAGUAUCCAGCUAGGGCAUAGGGACUUGUUCCGAUCAAGAGACUGUAAAACAAAACAAAAUGAGGCAAAAUGCUUUUUAAAUAUCAUCAAACUAAGACGUACCUUACACCUCUCGAUGAUGGAGACCAGUGUAUCUGUCCUACCUUUGGCUACACAGCUACGCACACAUUCGCUAAAAACAGUGGUGGACAACAUGUAACCAGAUUUUAGUGCGAUGUCCAGAAGCUGCAUGGCUUUGUCAUUCUCCCCAUUAGAAUACAGCAUUCCAAUAACCAAAUCAUAUGAUUCAUCAUCCGGACGAGAUUCAUCCUUCCCUGAUAUCAGCAUCCUGAUGGUACAUAAAAAAAAAAAACAAUAUAUUUCAAGAAAUGGCUAGGCGGUUACUAAACGAUUUAAAUUUAUAUAAGCCUAGCUUCUAAACGGAUUAUUCAUGGCAUAGGCAGGAACUAAACAUUAAUGAAUUACUUUUUAUUUAUUUUAUACUAGAUUUUUUUUUUAUAACUUUUUAGGUUUAAUUAUAUAACUAAUUUGAUGAGUUGUAAAAGUUAGGUAUAUAAAAAAAACGAAAUUUGACAAAGCGUGUACACUAACACUGUUACUUGAUUUAACUGAUUUACACCAAUUUAGAUAGAAACUCUUAAAUUGGAUUCAAAGAAAAUCUUCUCGAAUUAUUAUGUAAAUUUCAUAGAUUUUGCACUCGUAAGAGUCUUUUACUAAUUGAACAGUGAUUAAGCAGCAAUGUAUGUAAUUAUUGUGUAGAGCAAAAACAAAAAAGGAUUAAGUUGGAUAUAACCUGUUAAGCAGCUUCUCCGCAACCUCAGUCUCUUUCGCCUGAUGCAUAGCCUUCAAGACAAGAUUAUACGACGCCGUAUUAGGGGCCACGGAGAAAUCAUCCAUCAUCGCAACGAGAUCGAGCAUGUCACUAGGUGCAGCGCCCAUCAUCAAAUUAGCCCUAAGGUAAUGGUUGUAAAGGUUGACAUCCGGCUUGUUCGGCUUCCCGUUCUUGUCGAGCGACCGGACCCAGAACUCGAAUAGCUGCUUCAUGUCGGACCAGCGCUGCGACGCGGUCCAGUCGGCGAACAUGUUGAGCAGCGAGAUCAUGUCGAGGGUCUCGGAGAGGGCUCUGAUGCGGGCGGCGGGGGCUUGGUUUAGGAAUCCCAUGGGGACUAGU
RNAcentral lists this long non-coding RNA (5965 nucleotides) under Brassica napus (rape). Its description in RNAcentral is "long non-coding RNA (BNAP_LNC017329)". The record is from RNAcentral. Lineage: Eukaryota; Viridiplantae; Streptophyta; Magnoliopsida; Brassicales; Brassicaceae.